AUACGUAGGUGCCAAGCGUUAUCCGGAUUUACUGGGCGUAAAGGGCGUGUAGGCGGUCUUGCAAGUCAGAAGUGAAAUUCCUGAGCUCAACUCGGGCGCUGCUUCUGAAACUGCAGGACUUGAGUGCUGGAGGGGAUAGCGGAAUUCCUAGUGGAGCGGUAAAAUGCGCAGAUAUUAGGAAGAACACCGGUGGCGAAGGCGGCUAUCUGGACAGUAACUGACGCUGGGGCGCGAGAGCGUGGGGAGCAAACAGGAUUAGAUCCCCUGGUAGUCCACGCUGUAAACGAUGAAUACUAGGUGUAGGGGGUAUCGACUCCCUCUGUGCCGCAGUUAACACAAUAAGUAUUCCGCCUGGGGAGUACGGCCGCAAGGUUGAAACUCAAAGGAAUUGGCGGGG
RNAcentral lists this ribosomal RNA (397 nucleotides) under uncultured bacterium. RNAcentral's name for it is "partial 16S ribosomal RNA". It matches the Rfam family "Bacterial small subunit ribosomal RNA", at positions 523 to 918 of the family's 1533-position model. The record is from RNAcentral.